GUGAGGAAUAUUGGACAAUGGGCGCAAGCCUGAUCCAGCCAUGCCGCGUGCAGGAAGACGCAUCUAUGGUGUGUAAACUGCUUUUGUACGGGAAGAAACACUCCCUCGUGAGGGAGCUUGACGGUACCGUAAGAAUAAGGAUCGGCUAACUCCGUGCCAGCAGCCGCGGUAAUACGGAGGAUCCAAGCGUUAUCCGGAAUCAUUGGGUUUAAAGGGUCCGUAGGCGGUUUAAUAAGUCAGUGGUGAAAGCCCAUCGCUCAACGAUGGAACGGCCAUUGAUACUGUUAGACUUGAAUUACAAGGAAGUAACUAGAAUAUGUAGUGUAGCGGUGAAAUGCUUAGAUAUUAGGAGGAACACCAGUGGCGAAGGCGACUUUCUGGACUGUAACUGACGCUGAGGCUCGAAAGCCAGGGGAGCGAACGGGAUUAGAUACCCUUGUAGUCC
RNAcentral lists this ribosomal RNA (445 nucleotides) under uncultured bacterium. RNAcentral describes it as "partial 16S ribosomal RNA". It matches the Rfam family "Bacterial small subunit ribosomal RNA", at positions 354 to 796 of the family's 1533-position model. The record is from RNAcentral.